GUGCGGGCCUUCUCCUCCAUUUCCUGAUUUUUCGAGAACCUUAGAGAGAGGGAAGAGUGAGAGAGAGAACCAGAUUCCUUCAUGUGUCUUCCCUCUUAGUUUGUUAGUCGAUGACUGUGGGUACGCCUCUAGCUCGUCGCAGUCGCUGGCCGAGAUUGAAGAUUUGAAGGAGACUUUAUACAGAGCACUGGUUGUUAACGGCAGUUCUGUUAGCCCUUGGCACACUAUGGUUCACCUAGCUAGUAAGGUGCUCAUAGGAGGUGCUAGCCCCUUGCGAUGGCCAAUGCAUGUGGAACGGAGGGAUGGUUAUUCCAUAAUUGAUGUUGUACCUUCUGCUGACUUUUGAGGGCGCAUUGCUGGAUUGAUUAGAAGAUCUUUUGAGGAUACAUUACUUUUGAUGUAGUUCUUAAUUAUAUAUUAUAUUUUGAAUUUAUGAUUAAUUGCUCUAUGUUAAUUAGAGGAAGGAUUGUUAUCUGAAUUUUGUUUGUCUGUCUGUUUUGGAGAAGUAGAGUUUUGCAUUUAUGAUUUGGGCUAUAUAUAGUUAUUGUAGAAACUUAGGGAGGUCUUAAUUAUAAAGAAGGUUUUGCUAAAUUUUCUAUUGAAGGUUUAGGAAGUCGUUUGUGAAAAUGAAAAUAUUACAAUAAUUUUCAAAUUGUAUUUCAUAUAAAAUGAGAUAUUAGAUUUGAGAUUUUUUUUAAUUAAGGCUUAAGGGAUGUGUGUCUAUGUAUACGUCUCGUGCCGGUCAUGUUUAAUUUUUGGGAUGUGACAACACAAAUGAGAUAUAGAAUCAAAUAAGAAGUAAAAUUUUUCAAAUUUGUUACAAAUUGAUUGAGAUCAUGAAUAUUUUUUUAGUCAAUUGAAAUAACUCUGUGAAAAGAGAGAGAUAAUUAAGUGGUUAAAAUAUCCUAAAUACUCUAUAAUAGAGUGGAGUUGUUGAAAUAAUAUACUGUUAGACAUGGUUAAGUUAAUAAUGGUAUAGACAAGUCCACAAAAUUCAUGUUAAGGAUACUUGAGUAAUAGCUAUUGUCAAAUAUAACCAUGUGCCCUCAAAGUUAGUCAUGUCCACAACCUUUAACUUAUGAACAAAAAGCAAAUUAGAUUUAAAUAUCCUUAAAUCAUGAGGAUUAGUUGCAUAUGUCUAUGAUAAUUCUCAUGAAUAUGGAAAACAAAAGUCCACAAGGGAAGGAAUGCAUUUUUAUUAGAUAUUAUGAGCAAUCAAAGGGCUAAGUUUUUAUGAGUGAAAACAAAGUUGGAAUUAUGAUUGAAUUUGAAUUGAGGACACCACAUUUCUUGAAGAUUGAAUUCCUUACUCUAGAAGAAAUUAUGUGUGCUGUAUAUCUUCAUGAGAUACAGGAUAAGGCAAUACAUAACAAGAUAAAGACCUUAAUCCCCCUAGCAUAUGUUGAUGUGAGUUGGAGAUAAGAGAAUAAUAGAGAAGGUGUCCCUGAGAAACACUUUCAUAUAAGAGAGGGAGCAUUCAUAGUUACUUCAGAAGAGAAUGAGGAAUCAUGUUCUAUACAAAUGAGAGAAAACAAUGGAAGAAGAAAAUGGAUAAAGUUUCCUAUACAAGUAUUAUUGGUAUAGUACACAAUAACAUGUAUAAGUAAAAUUAUCCAUUUUGUGAUAAGAGUUGUAAAGUGUUACUAGUUCAACCACUAUGAGCAACACUCAAAAGCUGUGAAGUAGAUCUUCAAAUACUUGAAAGGCACUGUUGUCAAAUAAAUUGAGUUUAUAGCAUGUAUUGUAAUAAUACAAGAGGCUACAUGACCAAGAAGUUUCAUGGAACACUUUGGAUUUUUAAAUGAAAAUUCAAAUCCAAUGUAAAUGUGUAUAAUAACACUAUAGCCAUUGCUAUGCAAGGAUCCAAGUAUUAUAACAAGACUGAAAAUAUGAAUGCAAAUUAUAACUUUGUAUAAAAAGUUAUAGCAUAGAUAGUCGUAUUUAUACAAUUAAUUCCUACACAGUGUGCGAUAAGAAAUCCCCUUAGAAAUCUUAUAGUCAAGAAAAUGUAUAUAAAAUAUGUUAAGUUCUUUAAUUGGCAUGUAAAGGAAAUGAUAUAACAUACAUUCAGUAUCAAUUUGAUGAAAAUUAUUUCAUCAUUGCUUCAUAUGUAUAUGUGAAAGUAUAUAAUAUCUAGCAUGUCAUAUAGGUUGGUAAGGUUGGCUCUCAUACAAGAGCAAUUGCCUUUGACACUCAAGAGGAGCGGGCAAAGAUAAGUCAUAUGUGUUUACCAGUAAGGCAGCAAGAGUGUUGAUAUGGUAGAGAAGAAACACGAAAUAUAUGUCAUCUCAACAUAAAAUAAAGAGUAUGUUAAGAUGAGAUCCAUAAUAUAUAUAUAUGAUCAUGGAUUCUCACAUAUGUGAUAUCAGUAGCUAAACAACAAAUUCAUCGAGUUUGAUGUCAUAUGAGAUGAGUAGAAGAAUUUGGGUCUAGAUACUAUGUGUAUCUAGACUUAAGUCUAUACGGUGUUAACAAUAAAAACAAAAUGACAUACACUCUUAUAAAAUAAGAGUAACACUAUAACAUGUGAUUCAUACUAUAUGUGCUUAAGAAUUGCAAUUAGGAAGCAAGUGAAUAAAUCCUUACUUCAUUACUAUGUGAGUCCUAGGAAGGAAUAAUCCUUUCAUUGAUGUCCUUUGACUUUGACAAUAUUAUGGUGGUAAAAUGCAGUACUUGCUAUUUUAUCAUAUGUCCUAUGAUCAUGAUAGAUGUGAUCUGUAGGUAAUGUGCUAUGAAAGCAACUAUCUCUUGUUACAAUGAUAUAUGAGCGAAAGAAAGAUUAUCUAAUAUAUACAUGCCUAUACUAGCUAGUGUGUGAGACUAGUCCCUUAUGGUAUCAUUUUGCAGAUUUCAUAAGUGUGGACAUUUUACAUACAAGAAAGGCAAUUUGAGUCUUAUAUUGACUCAAGAGGGAUUAGAUUAGCUAAGAGAAAAGUGUAUAUAAGAUAAAUGUAGAACAUCCAUGGCGUAAUGUCAAUAUAACCACAAAUCAGCUUUAGGGUUAUUUUAUGAUAGCUUGUAAUUAGAUUUCUAGUACAAAUCCCUAAAAUGGAAACGUUAAGUUUAUUAGGUCAUCACAAAGCACUUUGUAUGAAAAAAAGGGAGAGAAUGAGACAAGACCGGUGAUAUUUUAUCCACCACGUAUUAGUGGGAGAUGUUAGAUUAUCCAACCUUAGUAGAUCAAGCCCAAUAUAAGCCUAUGGGGCUUUAUAAGUUCGGGUCUUUGUAUAUGAUAAACUAAAGUUCUUGAGUGUGAUUUUCUCCUGUCAUUUGAAUGAACGAGGGAACGAUUUACACAACCAUAUAAUGGAUGCUCCACUUAUCACAUUGUGGGUGAGUGACAUAUGAGGAUAGAAAAAAAACUGAAUUAUCAUUUUUUUAAUGAAUGAUGGUCUGAGUGUUCUCUCUUUUGUCUCCUUUUUUAUGUGUUUUUGUUGUGUACUAGAAUUGAGUUCAAAAGAGUAACUUUGUUUCAGCAUAUGGCCAAGCCACAGAUGCAGCUCAUAAGAUCGACAAUCUUCAAUCUUCUCAAAAAUGGAGUUCGUCGAUGGCAAAUGGGUUCCACAAGACACUAGGAGUUUCCAUUAACUUCAAUCUUCCUCACUUAAUCUUGAUUGACCAUACAACUACAACUUUUCGCUCCCAAUGGUCAAGAGAACGCCUUCAAUCUUCCACUGAAUAGAAUCCAACGACUCAAUUCUAGUGAAGGGCAAGUGUAACUUUGUUUCUUUAUGAGCGAUGGAGAGUCGCACGCAUGGUGAUCCUUCUUUUCCACUUGAGGUAAUUUCAUCAUUUGAUUUAAAACAUUAAUGUCACUUAAGGCCUUUGGGCCUGCUGAAGAAAAUCAAAAUUCUUUGGGCUUUAACUGAUAUUAUGAUGCUUCUGAGGGCCUUGGAUGCAAUUCUCCCAGUCUAAAAUCACAAGUAGAAAGAAAGAUAUUGUAAUAACCCAGAAAGAAAAAAAAAAUUUAAUAAUAAUUAGAGAUAGAAGUUUGCAUUUUAAUGGUAAUCAUAUUAAUUCUUGGAAGAAAUACAACAAUAUGGGGUGUUGGUGUAGUGGUAUAAUUCAAGCAACCUAACCAUUAAGUCCCAAGUUCGAAUCUGGCUGAGACAAAAGAGGGAUUUUAUUUUGUUUUUGCUUUCCAAAAUUAUCAAACUGCCCCUCUUUAAUCUGAUAAAAAAAAUUCAUCCCUUUUUCGAUCAUUCCAGAUUUGUUAAAUGCUCUGUGUCAUGCUUCAUUCCUUUACUCUUCCUCUGUGUCUCUGCUUCCUUCCCUUGCGUCCUUAAUCAUUGCCGGCGUGAGCCUUUACUGUCAAUCUGUCCAUAGCUAGCCGGAGGAGAGCUCGUUUUCUUGUUGCUGAACGCCAGUGAAAAUCUUUUUUUUUUUCUUCUUCCUCCCUGUUCGAGCUUAUAGCAUAUCAUUGGGUGAGUGUUUUGUCUUCCUCUUUUCCUUGCUUAGCUGGAGCUCCCUGUUCGGUUGGCAAUCUUUUGAUCUCUCCCUCUUUUGCUGUUUUUGGUAAUUAAGAGAAAUUAUUGAAGUGAAAUUGGAAGAGAAUGGCUUAGAUAUACAACUUGAAUAUUGGUGCUUAUGAGAUGCUUGUUGAAAGACUUGUAAGAGGAAAUUGAACUUGACUUUUAAAUAUUUAUAGAAAUUAUUAAUUUAGAAAUUAACCUAUAGGUUUGUAAAGGAAUGUGAUUAUGAGAUUGUAUGUAGCUAUCGGAGCACUUGGAACUUGUUUGGUUAUUAGUGAAUUUGUUGAAUGUUUUAAAAUUGAAAAGGUAGAAGUAAUAUACCUAAGGUAUUUAGUGUAGAGAUUGGGAGAAAACUUCUGUUCUAAGAAAAUAGAAUGACAUGGCCAAAGUUUUAUGGAGAAAGUUAGAGGAAUGAAUAAUAAUGCUUGAACUAACUUGAAAUCAUAAAUUUGAUUUUGAAUUUUAAAUAGUGGUUGAUAGAGAUUGUGUUAUAAAUUAAAAAGUUAUUAAACUUGUAUAUAUUUAUAUUUUAUAGGGUGUGUGGAAGAAUAAGACUCUGACAAGAAUUAAAAGAAGAAUACUUUUGAGAAUUUAUAACUCCAACGUGUAAGUGAAUAGCAUUCCAUUUAAUUUAUUUUUAAUAGCCUUUUUUUAAAAUAUUUUAUUCUUAUGAAUUAUAUUAAUUUUGAAAAUUAUGAAAUAUCAAUGAAUGACAAACAAGUUCUGAUACGUGCAUUAUAUUUAUUAUUUUCAAAAGUAUAUUUCAAAGAUUGAUGAAUGUAAUUUUAUAUGAUUGUUAAGUUUUGGAAAAGUAUUGGCUAUUCAAUUACUGCAAGUUUGAUCUAGUAGUUAUAAAGUAUGAUUUUGACAAAUUUUGAGAUUUGAAACAAUUCAUGCAAGUUGGGCAUUUGAGAAUGAUAAUUUUAUUAUAGUAAUAAUUAUUAUUUUCUCGCAUGUUUAAAAUAGAAUUUUUAAGAGGACUUUAAACAGAAUACUGCUACUAACGGUAGUUUCGUUAGCUCGUAGCGUGUUGUGGUUAAUAACUAACUAGUUUAAUGUUCGUGAGUUUUGUUCUCACGUUUGUUAUUCACGGGCCUUGUCCUUGCGUUUGUUUCAUGGCUUUGAGCCGCGUUUGGUUAGUAUUAUCCUCAUAAAUUAGGUGUUAACGUUUGUAUUCGUAGCUUCAGCUGUGUUUGGUUACUUACCCUCAUGGAUUGUGUGUCCACGUUUGUUUUUAUGGUAUAAGCCGCGUUUGGUUAUUUAUCCUCGUGGACUGUGUGUCUACAUUCGUUACCUGUUCUGUUGAGUUUUGCUAAUAAAUACAUUACUCUGAUUUAUGUGUGAACAAAUGGUUUUCUGUAAGCAUGAUAAAAAUAUAUUGCUUUCAAUUUACUUUCAUUUUACGAUUAUGAUUAUGACUUCCAGACUUAUAAAUUUAUUUUGUUGAAUUAUUUUUAUUUAGUUUACACUAUUAUUAGAGUUAAUUUAAAUUUUAUAAUUUUACUUGGGAAUGCUAUUCAUUGGAAAACUUAUUUUAGCCUCAGACUUGUUAGCUGAUGCUGGCCCCACCAUUUACCUUUAAAGGGCAAUAUAACUACAGUGGGUGAAAAUUUUUGACUGGUACUGUUACUUUUGAUGUAAAUAUAUAAUUCAUAUAUCUUUUUGAUUUAAAAGAAAGAUUAGAUACUCCACAUAGAUUGUUGAUAGACUUUAUUUUGGUUUGUAUAUUGGUUGCUGGUUGGAGGGAGUUACGCUCUUGAUUUAUACUGUUAUCUAUAAAAAUUUUCUGUUGUAGAAUUUUUGGGAGAUCCUAGUUACAAGGGAGGUUUUGCCAAAAUUUCUAUAAAAACGUUGAAACUUUCUUAUGACAAUUAGCAUGAAAAAAAAUUAUUUUAACUUUCAUGUAAUUUGAUUAAUUCUUUUCUUUUCUUUUCUUUUCUUUUGUAACAUGGAAUAAAUUUUCAUUUUGAGGCCUAUGGGGAUGUGUGAGUGGUUCACACCCGUGCCGGUCAUCCUCUAUUUUCGAGGCGUGACAGAUAUUGGAAACCUAUAAUCGAAUAGUGAUAUAACUCCCUAUUACCAAGUAAAUGUGUUAAAGAAAAUAUAAUAAUGUAGAUCCUAAUAUUUUCAUUGCAUUUUGUUUUUAUUCUUAUAGUUUUGUUCUGUUGUUCUUAAUUCUUUUAGUUUGAUAAGUCUGUAACAUUAAUCCCCAUGAACUGCUUGCCCUAAUGAGUUUAAUUUCGUUGUGACUCUGCGAGUCCCUUUGCUAAUUGGUAAGAUUAUAUUAAUUACAAGUAAAUAAAUUGACCAGGUAUGAUUAAAAAACAAAAGUUAAAGGAAAAAGACUUUCUUUUGUAUUUGACUUAAACAGAAUGUGAGAAACGACUGUGAGAUACAGCAUACAUCAGUAAGGGUUAAUAAAGUUAAGGAUAUAUUAGCAAAAUUAACUUUGUUGAUGCUAGCUCAUGGCCCUUAUAUGUAUUUUUAAAAGACAAAUUAAAUUGAAUGGACUAAAGAUAAAGAAAUAAAAAUAUAAGAAUUAAAAACAAAACACAAUUAAAGUACAAGGACCAACUGUUAUAUUUUUCAUAUGUAAUAUAUACUUUCUCUGUUAAAAAAUAUAAGACAUUUUAAAUUUUUUUCAAUUAAAAUACAUCUCAA
This is an RNA transcript of Prosopis cineraria, 7133 nucleotides long. It is a transcript of the gene named hydroquinone glucosyltransferase-like, with no coding region annotated. The record is from RefSeq and is a predicted model, not a curated record. NCBI's taxonomy places the organism in Eukaryota, Viridiplantae, Streptophyta, Magnoliopsida, Fabales, Fabaceae. The transcript is spliced from 6 exons.